GGGGGCGUACUGGCUUCGACGUGGAUCGGACGUACCCUGGGGCAUGCCGAGCAGACAGCAUCACUCGUAAAACCCUGCUGUAAACUGUUAGUUGCCAACGACGACAACUACGCACUGGCCGCCUAAAAACCGGCCUGCUCCCGACCGGUUGAGCCUGCGCUUCCGAAUCGGGAUCAUUGAGCAGGAUCGCGUUGUGUCGCGUUUCAGGGCAUGGCGUUAAAUCACACUGGAACUGGUCGUUGCAUGUGCCCUGCCCCUCGGGCGGUGUGACGACGAGAAACAAUCGAGCGGGCUAAGCAUGUAGAACCAGGAUCAGAUGGUUCGCGGACGGGGGUUCGACUCCCCCCGCCUCCACCA
RNAcentral lists this transfer-messenger RNA (357 nucleotides) under Wenzhouxiangellaceae. Its description in RNAcentral is "Wenzhouxiangella sp014725735 Standard tmRNA". It matches the Rfam family "transfer-messenger RNA". Rfam says of the family: Bacterial tmRNA, also known as 10Sa RNA or SsrA, is named for its dual tRNA and mRNA-like properties. Lineage: Bacteria; Pseudomonadati; Pseudomonadota; Gammaproteobacteria; Chromatiales. The record is from RNAcentral. RNAcentral also lists the same sequence under 1 other name.